Molecule: ribosomal RNA, 468 nt
Filed under: uncultured bacterium
Lineage: Bacteria
Description: partial 16S ribosomal RNA
Rfam family: Bacterial small subunit ribosomal RNA
Source: RNAcentral
GACGAACGCUGGCGGCGUGCUUAACACAUGCAAGUCGAACGGAAAGGCACUGAUUUUGUGGGGUGCUCGAGUGGCGAACGGGUGAGUAACACGAGAGUAACCUGCUCUUGACUUUGGGAUAACUUAAGGAAAGUGAGGCUAAUACCGGAUAGCAGCUCCUGCUGCAUGGUGGGGGUUGGAAAGUUUAGGCGGGUGGGGAUGGACGGGGGGCUUAUCGGCUAGUUGGUGGGGUAGUGGCUUACCAAGGCUUUGACGGGUAGCUCGCAUGUGAGGGUGACCGGCGACAUUGGGACUGAGAGAGGGACCAGACUGGUACGGGAGGCAGUAGUGGGGAAUAUUACACAAUGAGCGGAAGCCGGAGGAAGCGACGCCGCGGUCGGGAUGACGUUCUUUGGGGUGUAAAACGCUUUAGCCUGAGACGAAGCGUUAGUGACGGUAAUGGGUAAAGAAGCACCGGCUAACUACGUG